RNAcentral lists this ribosomal RNA (280 nucleotides) under uncultured bacterium. RNAcentral describes it as "partial 16S ribosomal RNA". It matches the Rfam family "Bacterial small subunit ribosomal RNA", at positions 506 to 785 of the family's 1533-position model. The record is from RNAcentral.
UGCCAGCCGCCGCGGUAAUACGGAGGGGGUUAGCGUUGUUCGGAAUUACUGGGCGUAAAGCGCACGUAGGCGGAUCGGAAAGUUGGGGGUGAAAUCCCAGGGCUCAACCCUGGAACUGCCUCCAAAACUAUCGGUCUAGAGUUCGAGAGAGGUGAGUGGAAUUCCGAGUGUAGAGGUGAAAUUCGUAGAUAUUGGGAAGAACACCAGUGGCGAAGGCGGCUAACUGGCUCGGUACUGACGCUGAGAUGCGAAAGCGUGGGGAGCAAACAGGAUUAGAUAC